RNAcentral lists this non-coding RNA (32 nucleotides) under Rattus norvegicus (Norway rat). Lineage: Eukaryota; Metazoa; Chordata; Mammalia; Rodentia; Muridae. The record is from RNAcentral.
UGUGACAUCUGUCCCAGAGUUGGCUGAGCCAC